AUAAGCCCAGUGAAGGUCCCAGUGUGGCUGGUGGGGUUGCUCUGGUGUGGGACUUAGGGUUGGAGGUCAUGUCAGGCCCCCUUAUUGGCCUCCGCAUCUUCUCUUUGCCUGCCCCAGUUGUGACACCGGCUAUCAGCAUGGGAACCUCUUCAUGUCCUUCCGAAGCUUCUUCCAGGAUGUGACUGAUGCCAUGAAUAAUGUCCACCAGUCGGGCUGUCUCAAGGAGAAGAUCCUGGAGGACUUGGAGAAAUAUGUGGAGAAGGAUCCACGCCUCCCCAUCCUGCUGGGGAAGAUGAAGGAGGUUGGGAAAGUGUUUCUGGCCACCAACAGCAGCUACAACUACACCAAUGCUAUCACGACCUACCUGUUCAGCAUCAGUGAGGUGAGUGUUGGAGUGUUGCGUGCACGGCUGGGGAGGGCUGUGCAAAGGGCUAGGGUACCAGGCUGCACCACGAUGCUGAGGGCCUCUCCCACGUCCAGCCUCCCUUUGAGGAAGACCCGAGUGUGUGAGUGGUCAUUUCUCAUGAGUGGAAGCUCCCCAGUGGGUAGGAUGCUGGGGACCUCAGCCAGGCCCUGGGAGGAGCCUUUGGGGGUGAUAGGAGGCAGUCAGGUAUGUGGGGAGGGGCAGCAGAAAGUGGGUGAGACGAGGGCAUGGCAUGUCAAAGGGAAGGGUGCUGGGAGUGACAGGUCCUGGGCACUGGGAGUGACCAGGUGUCACUGGGCAGGCAGCAGGGCCCUAACUUGAUAGCCGUGCUGGUGCCACCUGUCCCCGGGUCUCUGUGCUGUGAGGAGCUCGGGAGGCUGGCCUGAGGCUGCACAUGAUGAUCGACACCCACCUCCACAAGUUCCUUUUGAGCACUUCCUAGUGCCCAGCUUGGCUGGGGAAGCUGGGCAGCGAGACCUGGUUCCCAGGGGCUGAAGAGGUCUCAUCCAGCUGGGAGGUUGGUGGGGAGAGGCAGGCUGUGGUGGGUGACCGGCUGUGGCAAGGUCAGAUUUACCAGGCUGUGUGUGUGCGGCCCGUGUGCACCCCCAACAGGCUGAAGCCUCGGGCAGGCCCUGGAGGUCCUACUUCAAUCUGAUUGUGGUGGACAUGCAGAAACACCGCUUCUUUGCAGAGGGGGUGGUCCUGAGGCAGGUCAACACGGUAAUGGCAGGUGCAGAGGUCAGUCCACCUGCACCCAUGGACCACGGUUGGGGAGGGCAGCCUGCCUGCCCCUUAGACUUGACCUGCCUUUAUGGCUGGCAGCUCUGCUGGCCUGUCUGUCCCUGGAGGCAGGGAACCUGAGGCCACCUUCAGCGCCCUCUGCUGCCUCCUUCCUCCCACAUCCCCAUGGUUACCUCUGCCACUCCCAGCUCCCUGCGACCCUCCCUAGCUAGAGACCAAAGAUGUGGUUCUCCUGGCUCCAGGGCACCCCUCUGCCCCUCCAGGACUCAGGAAAGCUCCACGUGGGCACCUACACAGGGCCCCACCAGCACUGUGCUGUCUACUCUGGAGGCUCUUCGGACAUGGUGUGCGAGCUGCUUGGGGUUCGGGGGAAGGACAUCCUGCACAUUGGGGACCACAUUUUUGGGGACAUUCUCAAGUCCAAGAAGCAGCAGGGCUGGCGGACUUGCCUGGUGGUUCCUGAGCUGUCCUGGGAGCUGGACAUCUGGGCCCGGGAGAAGGAGUGGUUGGAGGAGCUGAAGAGGCUGGACACGCACCUGGCAGACCUAUGCCAGCACAUGGAUGGGAGCUGUUGUAAGCUGCGAGUCAUCAGCUUCACAAAGAGAGAGAUCCAGAUGCCACGAGUCAGUUGUGGAGCAAGAACAGGCCAGUCUGGACCCUGCCUCCUGCCUCCUCUCCUGCAGCCAGAGGGGUGAGGGGCAAAGAGAGAAACGAGGACCAGGAAAGUUACAUUGAGGCUGACGGAGUUCCGGACACGGGCUGGCAUCACGGGUCAUCUUCUACUUGAGAUAUUUUUCAGAUAACAGGAAAAAGCAACUGUAUUGAAAUCUCCUAAAUGUAGCAGAUUCGGAGCCUGCAAACACUUAUUUUAGGGAGGAGGCAGUAUUGCUCUUAACCUAGAAGGCAUCCCCAAUGGUCUUUGAGACGUUUGGAAACCUGUGCACAAGUGAAAUUAUUUUACCUACUUCUCUUGAACGCAUGAUGUCUCAUAUCCAAUUUUAUUUCUAAACAUGUCUUUUAAAAAAUAGUUAUUUCUGUGCACUUCUGAUUCUGUUACUAGUAAGAACAAUAAAACCUGAUUGGCUAUGUAUUGCCUCACUAACUGCUCUUUCAUUCUGGGUCACUAUGAAAGAUGUUAAAUGAGAUAGCCCAAAUGUCUUUGAGUUUGUGUAUACACAUUAAAACACAUAAAAAGUCAUACUCAUGAUUUUAAAACUUGACUCUCGAAUGUGUUAGUAGCUUCUCUGUGGUAUUAAAGCGCUGAAGCAUC
This 2435-nucleotide small RNA is filed under the name Pongo abelii (Sumatran orangutan). Its description in RNAcentral is "processed transcript". The record is from RNAcentral. Lineage: Eukaryota; Metazoa; Chordata; Mammalia; Primates; Hominidae.